Eriocheir sinensis (Chinese mitten crab) is the source of this 5987-nucleotide long non-coding RNA. RefSeq lists it as uncharacterized. Lineage: Eukaryota; Metazoa; Arthropoda; Malacostraca; Decapoda; Varunidae. The transcript is spliced from 4 exons. The record is from RefSeq and is a predicted model, not a curated record.
GUGUGUGUAUGUGUGUGUGUGUGAGCGAGAGAGAGAGAGGAGAAAGGAAAAUGGGAAGAAAGCAUGAUUUUGAAAAGGAGGGCGAGGGAUGUAGGAUGAGUGAGAGGGGAGAGAAAGAUAUAUAGAGGAAGGGAGAGGGAAGGAAAAAAGAGGGGAAGGGAGAAAGAGACUAAGGGGAGAUAAGCGUGUGAUAGAGAGAGAAAAAGAAAGUGAGAAGAAAUAGGAGAUAAAGACAAAUUGGAGGGUGCGAGAAAAGGAGAUGAAAGAGAGGGAGAGGAAAGCGUGAUAUUGAAAGAGAAAGUUGGGGAUAUGAAACUGAACAAUUACUAUUAUAAUUUUCAUCAUCAUUAUCGUUGUUGUUAAUGUUAUUUUUGUUGUUGUUUUCGCCACGUCAGUCAACCCCAUUAUAUGAUGUGAAGGAUUUAUGAGACUGAACACCCUAAUCCUCUUUCCUUAUUAACUCCAAGAAGAUUAUAGAGAGAGUUUCCGAUCCCCUUCCUUGACCUUGCCUCGCCUCCCCUCCCCUCGGAACACCUGCGUGGCUUAUAAACAGGUGGAGGUGAACGUGACGGGUUGGUUGAUUAGGUUGGGUAGGUUGGGUAGGUUAGGCUGAUCGGUUUGGUUAGUUAGGUUGGUUAGGUUAGGUUAGAUUGUUUAGGUUGGUUGGGUUGGUUAGGUUGGUUAGGUUAGGUUAGGUAAGUUAGGUUGGUUAGGUUAGGUUAGGUUGGUUAGAUUGGUUGGGUAAGUUAGGUUGAUUGUGUAGGUUGAUUAGUUUCGGUUAGGUUGGUUGGGAAAGUUAGGUUAAUGUUAAGUUAGCAUCAUUAAAAAAAUAUCCAUUCAACUACAUAAAGCAUACUUCCAUUGUAUAUUUUUAUCGACAAACAGCGUGAAAGCAUCUUGUAAGCCCUGAAUUGAGUCGCUAAUUGAUAGAUCUUCCUUCAUUAACUUCAUCAGAUACCUAUUUUUACGGCAAAGGGAGCAGCUCAAGGGACAAAAAACAGUGAGAACAUAAAAGCUCGUCUUGUGUAUCCGAAGAGAGGAAACCACACUCACCCUCGGCUUCCUCGGGAUCAUAAUAUCAUGCGUAUAAAGGAAGAGACUUUUUGCCUCCUUUGAGAUGCGUUGCGGGUACCAAGCGGGAAAAAGCGGCUGGUUUGCAUAAGAGUUCUUCCCGCGGUGAGGAGGAAAAAUCUCUUGCAGCAAAAUGAGAUGGAAAUGAGUUCGAUGUUUUAAAAGAGGGAAGAAAGAUUAAUGGAAACUGAUCCUAUUUUACGUUAGACAAGCAGGAGGAGAGUUUUCAGAAAGGAAAUAGGGAAAACUAGAUGUAAGAGAACCCAUAAUAGCUUAGGUACUCAUUAGAAAGAUGGAAAUGAGUCUUGUGUUUUAAAAGGGGGAGCGAAAACUGAUCUUGAAUUCGGCAGAAAGACGGGAAUAGAGUUUUCGAAAGGGGAUGGGGAAAACUAGAUGUAAGAGAACCCAUAAUAGCCUUCGUACUCAUUAGAAAGAUGAAAAUAAGUCUUGUGUUUUAAAAGGGGGAGCGAAAACUGGUCCUUAAUUCGGCACACAGACAGGAGGAGAGUUUUCAAAAGAGAAUUGUAAAAACUAAAUGUAACAGACGGGAAGAUAGUUUUCAAAAGGAAUGAUGAAAAUGAGUCCAGUAUUCUAAAAGGGCCAGCAAAAACUGAUAUUAAUAUUCGGCAGACAGACGGGAAUAGAGUUUUCAAAAGGGAAUAGGGAAAGCUAGAUGGAACAGAGCCCAUAACACUUGCCAACGUAAUCACUAUAUGGAAUGAUGAAAAUGAGUCUAGUAUUCUAAAAGGGUGAGCAAAAACAAAUGAAAACUUAUCUUAAUUACCGUUAGUCAGACAGGAGGAGAGUUUUCAUAGAGUAAUGGGGAAAACUAGGUGUAACAAAGCCCGUAACACUUGCCAGCGUAAUCAGUAUAUGGAAUGAUGAAAAUGAGUCCAGUGUUCUAAAAGGGUGAGCAAAAACUAAUGAAAGCUUAUCUUAAUUACCGUUAGACAGACGGGAAGAUGGUUUUCAAAAGGGAAUGGUAGGAAAUAUAGGUAACAGAACAUUUGUCGGUGUAAUUGCUAAAAUGAUCGAAAUGACUUAUUUUAAAAGGAAUAAAAAGAACUACUACAAUGAAAGAUAGAGAGAAAAAGAUGUUAAGUUACGUUAGAAAGACAAGUGGAAAGUUUUCAUAAGGGAAUGUUAAAAGAAAUAUGGAUAACAAAAUCAUAACAACAGCCAACGUAAUCAUAAAAAAACACCAACAGAUAAAAGAGAAACAUAAACAGUCGACAUCUUAAAGGCAAUUCUAAAUCAGGAAAUUGCAAUGGUCAGGACACGCAUGUAGGAGACAGGACAAGAGAUGAACAAACAGCAAAGGUAAAGUCGAGGGCUUACACUUAAGUUGCGCGUAGCCUCGGUGCUCACCUCCGCCACAGUGACCCUUGAGACUGUGGCGGGAAGUAACCCAUCACCACAUUAGCAAAAAGAGCGAUAACUAGGAAAUUUCUGAUAUGCGAAAAAGACCCAAAGUGGAGGAGGAGGUCGUUCAGGUAGAUUAUGCGGUGGAAUUCAGAACUUUUUUCUUUUUUUUUACUGCUAAGGAGACAGUUCAAGGGCGUAAAAAAAUAUUAUAGAAAAAAAGCCCGCUACUUACUGCUCCUGAAUACACGGAAUACGAAAUACGGAACAUUUACAUCGAAAUUGGACACUAAAGGCACAGAAAACGCUGGGGAGAAGCUGGCGCUGAUAAAGAUGAUGAUGAUGUUGAUGAUAGUGAUGACGAUGACAACAGUAGCAUCAUUCAAAAGGCAAAUCAGUAUCAAUAGUCAAACGCAAUCAUAGAGGUCGGUCGGUCCGUGGCCAAUGUGUGAUGAGCCCUAAUGAGGUGGUGAUGGUGGUGAUAACAAUAGCAUCAUUAAAAAGGGUAAUCCCGUAUCAUUAAUCGUUAUCGGUAAGGCAUAAUAAUGUAUCCCGAAUCAGUGACCAGUGUGUGAUGGAGCGUAAAGAGUUGGAGGGCCGUGAUUUGCUAAUUAUGCCAACGAGUCUGAAUAUGAUUGGUCCUCAAAGCCGGGCUAAUUACAGAGAGAGUCAUUGUUGUUGUUGUCUUUGGAAGCUCACUCGUACAAUGCUCCCAACCGUGAAACUAUGUACAGGGAAGCGAGUUAAUACAAGAGGAGGGUAUCUGGACACCUCUCCUCCCGAAACUGACCUCUCUUUCGGCCACCUCUUUGGAUUCUGUUUAGGAGCAGCGAGUAGCGGGCUUUUUUUUUAUUAUUGUUUCCUUUUUUUGUGCCCCUGAGCUGUCUCCUUUGUUGUAAAAAAAAUGCUAAUGAAAUGGCAGCGUAGAGAGUAAUGUAACAGGCGAGGUGUACAAUAACAAAACGAUAAUGAAAGAACACCAUGACCUGAUAGAACACUAGAAUUUACUAAAGAAUGAAAAGUAUUUGCAACCCUAGACUUUACUUAAUGAAAUCACUACAAUAGCAACACUACAAUAACCAAGGACUAUCAUAUGCAACACUAGAAUUUACUUAAGAAUGAAAUUACUACAAUAGCAACACUACAAUAACUAAGGACUAUCAUUUGCAACACUGGAAUUUACUUAAGAAUGAAAUCACUACAAUAGCAACACUACAAUAACCAAGGAAGAUCAUUUGCAACACUGGAAUUUACUAACGAAGAAGACCUUUUGUAUCACUAGGAUUACGGCCCUUUGCAACACCAGAAUUAACGAACGAACGAACACAACUCUCGAAGGAAGAACUUUUGCAACACAAGAAGUUACGAACGAAGAAACCAUUUACAACAUUAGAGUUUGCUGUACCAUGACGAACAAGAAGAACCUCCAUCAAUAGCCUACUCGUAUUUCUUUUACGAUUCACGAUCUUAAACUUAUCGGCGCUUAUCAUCACGACAGUUUGAAAAGUCGCGUUGAAGUCUUGGGAACUUUCACCGACGAUUUCAUUACCCGAGUGUCAGUUUGGCAAGACCUUGAGGGAAACACAACUAUGGGAUCCUAAUUAACCUUUGUAACCUUUGAAAAUAGUCGUGUUAAGGCGUGGACACGUUUAAAAGCUUGCGUGUCUUAGUCUCAAACGUAAAAAAAAAAAACAAUACAGGAACAUCGAUUAGCGGGCCUUUUUUCUACUCCUUUUUUUGUUGCCUUUGAGCAGAUUCCUUAGCUGUAAAAAUUGAAAUACAGACAGAUUCACACAUCUUCUUCCAUCUCUCCUCCUUAUAAAAAAAGAGAGAAACGUAAAUUUGGGAAAUGAUGCUGGUCUCGUACACGCGGCAAAACUGAACGCUGACCUAAAACUGAGGGUAAGCAGACUAGGUUGCAUCAUGGGCGACAUUUAGCGGCGACAGGAGCUUAGGGCUGAAGGUUAGGGGUAUGGAGAGAUGGAGGGGAGCGUUACAUGACAUUAAAGGUGUGGGUGGGUGGGUGGGGGGGGGUUGUAGUGCUAGAGGGAGAAGGGAAACUGCUGUGUAUGGGAUGUAAGAGGGAGAUGCCUGGAGACUGAGAAAUUUGCAACACUAUAGUAUGCCAACAAACGAAUGCCUUUUGUAUGUAGAGGAGGAAUGAAGGUGUGAGUGUGGGUGGGUGUGGAGGUGUUAGUAGUGCAGGAGGAGAAAGAGAAGAGGGGAUACUGCUGUGACUGAAAGGGAUGAGGGAGAGGCCUGAAGACUCUUGAGAACUUUCCAUCACCAGAAUUCACUAACAGACGAACGAAGGCCUUUUCCAGUGUAAGGGAGGAACAAAGAGGAUGGCAGUGGUGUUAGUGUGGGUGUAGCAAGGCCUGAAGACUAUUACCAGGAAUUGCAAGGCCUGAAGUGUUGUAGCUAGGCCUAGAGGUAGUAAGCUAUUGUAUGGUCCGUGUGCUUUGGAAGGAGGUUGUAUGUCUCCAAGUUCUAAGGCCUAAAGGGUGUGUUGGACCUGUGUGGCUUAAGAAAGGUAUAUAUUUGGGUUUAAGUUAUGUGUUGUAAGUAUGUUUGCCAGGCUGAAGGACGUGGGUGGAGGUUGCAGAUGGGGUUACUAUAUUUAAAAGGUGUGGGGUAUGGUGUCGGGGUGAUAUGGCUUGAGGGAGAUUAGAUUAAGAGUUGUAAGUGGUUUUGCGAGGUCUGAAGGGAGUCUAAGAUGUCUGAAGGUGGUUUUACAAUGUCUAGUAGGGUUUAAAGGUAGGGUUGCAUGCUCUAAAAGAUGUGGGAGUGUGAGGUGCGGCUGUUUGGCUCGAGAAGAGUGUGUGGGUGAGGGGCUGAUGCAGGACAUAAAGGGCAUGUGUGCGUGGGUGUUGUUGUUGCCAGAUUUACACGCGUCCUCUGCUUCAAAUGCCCCCCGCCACUAAACACCCACCUGUUGACUGUCAUAGAAGGGAAUGCGUAUAACAAGAGAAGAUAAUGAGAGAGAGAGAGAGAGAGAGAGAGAGAGAGAGAGAGAGAGAGAGAGAGAGAGAAUGAAACUUCCGCUACAAUGAGAGACACAGAGACACAGAGAGAGAGAGAAAAAGACACAGGGAACUCCUGCUCCACUGAAAGACUACAGUGGUUUUUUUUGCCUCGACUCACACGGAACAAAGAGUAAUUAAUUUUCACACCUGUCCUUUUUGUGUCUGUUUCCUGGUCAUAAACACGUGUCGAUCAUAACACCUGGCUGGACACCCUCCCUCCUGUGAUCACCUUUCUCCUUUACCACGCCAGUAUAACCUCGCCCUUCCUUCGCUCAAUGUGACAAAAGAAAGUUGAAUACUGCGUGAGAGAGGUGUGUGUUUUGCUCUUCUAGAAUGUCUUUGUCUCAUGCAUUAGUUGUCUCUCUUACUAUACAAAAAAAAAAGAAGAAUAAAUAAAAGAGUUCCCCUUCUCUGCAUCUGACCAAAAGGAAGUUCAGCAAUGCAAGAAGGAAUGUGUGUGUGUGUGUGUGUGUGUGUGUGUCUUUGUCUAUGUGUGAAUGUCUUUGUCCCUUGCACUUGUUCUCUCUU